Long non-coding RNA from Zonotrichia albicollis (white-throated sparrow), 794 nucleotides. The record is from Ensembl. NCBI's taxonomy places the organism in Eukaryota, Metazoa, Chordata, Aves, Passeriformes, Passerellidae.
CCCCCCAAAAUCCCAAUUGGCCAAUGGGAACCUGGGAAGGGUGGAGGUUUUGGGGUUUUAUAACCCAAAAUAAGCCCCCCAAAAUCCCCCCCAAAAUCCCCCCCAAAAUCCCAAAAUCGCUACUGACCAAUGGGAACCUGGGAAGGGAGGAAGUUUGGGGUUUAUAACCCAAAAUCCCCCCAAAAUCCCAAAAUCGCUAUUGGCCAAUGGGAACCUGGGAAGGGAUGGGACAGGAGGUGUCACCCCCCAAAAAAACCCAAAAUCCCCCCAAAAUCCCAAAAUCGCUAUUGGCCAAUGGGAACCUGGGAGGGGAUGGGACGGGAGAUGUCACCCCCAAAAAACCCAAAAUUCCCCCCAAAAUCCCAAAAUUGCUAUUGGCCAAUGGGAACCCGGGAGGGGAGGAGGUUUUGGGGUUUUAUAACCCAAAAUCCCCCCAAAACCCCCCAAAAUCCCAAAGUGCCAAUUGGCCAAUGGGAACCUGGGAGGGGAAGAGGUUUUGGGAUUUUAUAACCCAAAAUUCCCCCAAAACCCCCCAAAAUCCCAAAAUUGCUAUUGGCCAAUAGGAACCCAAGAGGGGAGAAAGUUUUGGGGUUUUAUAACCCAAAAUAAGCCCCCAAAAACCCCCAAAUCCCCCCCAAAAUCCCAAAAUCGCUAUUGGCCAAUGGGAACCUGGGAGGGGAUGGGACAGGAGAUGUCACCCCCAAAAAAACCCCAAAUCCCCCCAAAAUCCCAAAAUCCCUACUGACCCAUGGGAACCUGGGAAGGGAGGAAGUUUGGGGUUUAUAACCCAAAAU